Molecule: long non-coding RNA, 940 nt
Organism: Dunckerocampus dactyliophorus (ringed pipefish)
Lineage: Eukaryota; Metazoa; Chordata; Actinopteri; Syngnathiformes; Syngnathidae
Exons: 4
Source: RefSeq, a predicted model, not a curated record
GUCUGGAGCCACUUUAACAACAUGUGGACUCGGUUGCAGGAGCUGGGGGGACGUGCCUGUCUACGCCACGAAAAGAGAGAGAAAAAGCGUUUGCACAAAGGAGGUGGGGAAAGACAGAGGCACCCAUGAAAGACUCAACUGAAAAUCAGAAUCAUCUUUGGAAGGAAGCAAACUAAAGUAGCGUCUAAGGACCUCUGGGUGAUGAACGGCUCGCUCAAGCAACAAAAACAACCCACAUUCCUAAAGGUAACUCCUUCAGGGAGCACAUGCCAUGCUGUCAACUUGUCUGCUCACUCUGUCACAAUCUGGGAUUUGCAGAGUGUGUGAGAACGACAACAACUAACACAGGAUGGACCCCAAAGAACAAGCAGUGAGCCUCUUGGACAAGAUUUGGGCCAAACUGCAGGGUCUGCCAAACGCCACCCCCGUGGAGCUGGGAGCUUUCUUCAUCCUCUUAACAUUCAUCAUGGUCGUUGUCAUCACGACGGUGGUGAUCUGUGCAAGCUUCUGCUGCUGCUGCUGCAGCAAAGCCAAAAGGAGGGAGCAGACAUUUACAAGCAUCUAAACUACAUGCCAAAACUUAAAACAGGUUUUUGCCAAGGCUGCCAAGUCGCACAAUGAGAGCAAGUGUCAGGACUAGAAGUACUGCUCAUGCAACUGGGCAGGGUGUGUUCAGCCCUCCAAAAACAAAGCAACUCUCACUAACAAAGAUGUCCUGACUUACUUCUAAACACAUCUGCUGAAGUUCCCAGACUUUCAGGACUAUCAACAUUCCUUGGAUUGCCCAUGUACAAUAACACUGUUCUUGGCAGGAGGAUGAGACACACAAACUAUAUUUAAACGUAUAAAUAAAUCCAUCCAUUUUCUAUACCGCUUCAUCCUCAUUAGGGUCACGGGGGCAUGCUGGAGCCUAUCCCAGCUGACUUCGGGCGACAGGCUG